CCCUUAGAUGUCCUGGGCCGCACGCGUGCUACACUGGUACAUUCAACGAGUUUACAACCUGAACUGAUAAGUUUGGGUAAUCUUUUGAAAAUGUACCGUGAUUGGGAUAGAUGAUUGCAAUUGUUCAUCUUCAACGAGGAAUACCUAGUAAACGCAAGUCAUCAACUUGCAUUGAUUACGUCCCUGCCCUUUGUACACACCGCCCGUCGCUCCUACCGAUGGAACGAUCCGGUGAAAACUCUGGAUUGGAGGGUUUGGUUGUUGCUUUGCAACACUACCCUUCGAGAAAUUGUUUGAAUCUUAUCGUUUAGAGGAAGGAGAAGUCGUAACAA
This 332-nucleotide ribosomal RNA is filed under the name uncultured eukaryote. Its description in RNAcentral is "partial 18S ribosomal RNA". It matches the Rfam family "Eukaryotic small subunit ribosomal RNA", at positions 1470 to 1797 of the family's 1831-position model. The record is from RNAcentral.